ACGCUGGCGGCAGGCCUAACACAUGCAAGUCGAGCGGUAGAGAGAAGCUUGCUUCUCUUGAGAGCGGCGGACGGGUGAGUAAUGCCUAGGAAUCUGCCUGGUAGUGGGGGAUAACGUUCGGAAACGGACGCUAAUACCGCAUACGUCCUACGGGAGAAAGCAGGGGACCUUCGGGCCUUGCGCUAUCAGAUGAGCCUAGGUCGGAUUAGCUAGUUGGUGGGGUAAUGGCUCACCAAGGCGACGAUCCGUAACUGGUCUGAGAGGAUGAUCAGUCACACUGGAACUGAGACACGGUCCAGACUCCUACGGGAGGCAGCAGUGGGGAAUAUUGGACAAUGGGCGAAAGCCUGAUCCAGCCAUGCCGCGUGUGUGAAGAAGGUCUUCGGAUUGUAAAGCACUUUAAGUUGGGAGGAAGGGUUGUAGAUUAAUACUCUGCAAUUUUGACGUUACCGACAGAAUAAGCACCGGCUAACUCUGUGCCAGCAGCCGCGGUAAUACAGAGGGUGCAAGCGUUAAUCGGAAUUACUGGGCGUAAAGCGCGCGUAGGUGGUUAGUUAAGUUGGAUGUGAAAUCCCCGGGCUCAACCUGGGAACUGCAUUCAAAACUGACUGACUAGAGUAUGGUAGAGGGUGGUGGAAUUUCCUGUGUAGCGGUGAAAUGCGUAGAUAUAGGAAGGAACACCAGUGGCGAAGGCGACCACCUGGACUGAUACUGACACUGAGGUGCGAAAACGUGGGGAGCAAAC
This 745-nucleotide ribosomal RNA is filed under the name uncultured bacterium. Its description in RNAcentral is "bacterial SSU rRNA". It matches the Rfam family "Bacterial small subunit ribosomal RNA", at positions 33 to 773 of the family's 1533-position model. The record is from RNAcentral.